This 496-nucleotide ribosomal RNA is filed under the name uncultured bacterium. RNAcentral describes it as "partial 16S ribosomal RNA". It matches the Rfam family "Bacterial small subunit ribosomal RNA", at positions 28 to 506 of the family's 1533-position model. The record is from RNAcentral.
GAUGAACGCUGGCGGCGUGCCUAAUACAUGCAAGUCGAGCGAACAGACGAGGAGCUUGCUCCUCUGACGUUAGCGGCGGACGGGUGAGUAACACGUGGAUAACCUACCUAUAAGACUGGGAUAACUUCGGGAAACCGGAGCUAAUACCGGAUAAUAUAUUGAACCGCAUGGUUCAAUAGUGAAAGACGGUUUUGCUGUCACUUAUAGAUGGAUCCGCGCCGCAUUAGCUAGUUGGUAAGGUAACGGCUUACCAAGGCAACGAUGCGUAGCCGACCUGAGAGGGUGAUCGGCCACACUGGACCUGAGACACGGUCAAGACUCCUACGGGAGGCAGCAGUGGGGAAUCUUCCGCAAUGGGCGAAAGCAUGACGGAGCAACGCCGCGUGAGUGAUGAAGGUCUUCGGAUCGUAAAACUCUGUUAUUAGGGAAGAACAAAUGUGUAAGUAAAUAUGCACGUCUGGACGGUACCUAAUCAGAAAGCCACGGCUAACUACGU